GUUUUUUUUUCUUCUAUGUACAAUGUCCUAAAGUUCUAGUGAAAAUAAAAAGAAUAUUUUUUUUAUAUAUUUUCCAAUGAAGAACCUCAAAAGAAUUUUUAUUUUGGAUUUUUGGAAUUAAUAUCUUAAAGUAAACUUCUAAAGAGGUAUUAAAAGAAAAUUCUCUUUUGUUUUGAAUUUUUAGUCUUAAUAUACUAAAGAAAAUAUAAAAGCAAUUUUUAUUUUUAGUUCUAGAUAUUAAUUUCCUAAGCAAAACCACCUCAAAGGAAUUUGUUUUAAUUACUAGAAUUAGUAUUCUUAAGAAAACUUCUAACAAAAAUAUAAAAACGCAAUUUUUUUUUUGGAUUUUUGAUUUAUAACACAUUUUUCAAAUACAAAAUAGGAAGUACAAUAACAAAAGACUCGACAAACUUAACUAGACUAUGAUAGAUUCUAACAUCACCUAAAAGACUCGACAUUACUGUACAAAACUAGAAGGUAAAAGAUGACAUAAAAAGAAAAACAGGCCAAAACAUAAAAAAAAUCUUCUUAAGCAACUCCUAAAUGAGCGAUCCUGACUAGAUGGUCCCGGGGUGUCUGUCGUUCUCAAACUCCGGUAAGUAGAUCCACACCUGUAUGAGAAAACUAAAACCACAUAGAGUUAAAGAUUUAGAACAUUAUGUGAGACAACAACACUCCCUACUGGACACAUGCAAGACAUGAUCGAGGCGAUUUUUGCAAAAUAGCCUACGUGGCCAAAAGUUGCUAGACAUGCAAAUUCGACAAGGACGGACCUUAAAGUAAAGAGACACCUAAUUGUGGAUUGAAGACUCUCCGGACACAAUUAAAUAAGCCACUUUGCGAAAAUAGCCCUAUUUUGCAAAACGGCCGCCAAAAGUGGCUAGAGAGGCAAGAUUUGGCUACGAUCCUCGAAGCCAAGAACUUAAGACUCACUAAGGACCGAACCUUAUGUGGGCUGCCUACGUAUCACGCCCCGAAAGACGAUAAUCUGGUAUGCGUAGUUCGGAAAAAUCGGAUACGGGCGAGAAUUAAAAAAAACUAAUUUAGAGAAAAUAUAUUUUUGUCUAUUUUUUUUGAAAAAAUGAUGAAACAUGUAAACUCUUUUUGGAUUUUUUUUUUUGGAAAAUGAUGGGAAAGUGCAAAAUCUUUUUGGAUUUUUUAUUAUUUUGUCUUUUUCUUAACAAAAAUGUGAAAGAAAAAUAUAACUGGCCCUACUUGCUUCAUUUUUACACUUGACCCUCUUUUCUUUCUCAUUUACCCUCAGCCAUUAUUGGUCCGCCAAAUGACCCCUUCUACCCUUGAAGAUUGCGACAUGUAGCACAUAAGAUGCAUCAGGAUAGCCUUUUAAUUUUGGAAAACGGCUGCUGGUUUCGUUGAAGUGAGCAGGGGUCGAUGUUGAUGGAGCUUCAGGUCUGUCGUUGGUUUUGGAUGGAGAAGAAGAGGCUUAUGGUGUUUUUAGGUUGUGCCAAAAAUGAAGAAAAACGGCUGAAGCUUAGAGAAGAAAAUAGGUUUAGGGUUGUUUUAAGUGUCUUUCUAGGGUUUUAGGGGUAUUGGGCUUAGGAAUUAUGGGCUAGGUCCGAAAAUUAGGCCUAAAAAGGGGUUGUUUGAGCCCAAAUUUUAUUCUUUCUCAUUGAACAAGACUAAAAAUACUAUCUCAUUUACUAAUUAAUACUACUUAAGUAAAAUAACUAUUAAAAUAAAACUAACCGUUAGAACAAACCUAUUUUUUGGUAUUUUUCAAAUAUCAUACUAAAAGAUAAAAAUGAAAUUAUCAUUGCAAAGUUAAAAUAAUAUUCGUAAAAACAAAGUGAAACUAUUUUUGUAUUUUUAAAUUCUAUGUAAGGUAGAUACAUUAAAAGUAACUAGAUACGAUAUUAAUUAGCUAAAUAAAAGAAAAUAUUUUUGUAAUUUUUCAUUUUUAUGAUAAAAUAAAGUAAAAGAGUCAAAACUAUUUAGAAUAGCGAUACUAAACCAAAACUAAAUAUUUACGCUAAAGUGUGUAAAAUCUUGGGGUGUGUCAAAAAUUACAUGUCUACAUAUAGUACUUAUCAAGAAUCACAACGAUUACAAUUUAAGACUCACGGGCAUGCAUGACACCAACGUAUAGAUACUCGUCACCACACCUAUACGUCGUACACUACACCAGCACAUAUCAAAUAAGGCACAACACCUAUUCCUUCAAGCUAGGGGUGGGCGUUCGGUAUUUCGGUUCGGUAUGUAAGAAUUUCGGUUCGGUAUUUCGGUAUUCGGUUUAUCAAUUGUGUAUACCAAAUACCAUAACAAAAUAUUUCGGUACGGUUCGGUAUUUAUUAUUUUGGUUUGGUACGGUUUCGGUUUAACAAUCAAUGAAUAAUCAAUGCUAAAUUGCUAAAUGCUAACGCCUAACCUAACAGUGCACAAUUGCACAUGCACAAUUGGAAGAGGAAUCACAACUGCAGUGUUUGCACAAUCUAAAUUCUAAAGUGGUUGCACAACGGCAGUGUUUGCACGAUCUAAAGUGUUUGCACAACUACAAGAAUCAAUGAAUAAUCAAAUAAUCAAUGCUAACAAUCAAUGAAUAAUCAAUGCUAAAGUGUUUGCACAACUGCACAAUGUGCACAUGGCUCAUGGCUGAAAGCCUGAAACAAGAAUAACAUAUUAUUCUGCUCUAGACAACUUCACAAUCUGGCAAUCUGCAGUUGCAAACUUGCACGCCAGAUCUGGCAAUCAACUUAACACUUAACACUUAAACACAGUGCAAUAAAAACACAGUCCAACAAAAACAGUCUUAACACUUAAAUACAUGGCAACUGAACUGGCCAACUGCAACUGCAAGUCUGCAACUGCAACAGUCUUAAGUCUUAAGUCUUAACAGUCUUAACACUUAAAGUCUUAAACAGUUAAACAUAGUGCAACAAAAACAGAGAGAGCAAUGUUUGCACUCUACUUUGCGAACUUCUCCGUUAUCUUCUUUCACCACAAAGUAUUCCCAAAUAUCGGAGCGUUGAGCAGUAGCACGGGGCAUGAUUGCACUUGAACC
This 3019-nucleotide long non-coding RNA is filed under the name Nicotiana tabacum (common tobacco). Its description in RNAcentral is "long non-coding RNA (NTAB_LNC010749)". Lineage: Eukaryota; Viridiplantae; Streptophyta; Magnoliopsida; Solanales; Solanaceae. The record is from RNAcentral.